Long non-coding RNA from Mustela lutreola (European mink), 688 nucleotides. RefSeq lists it as uncharacterized. The transcript has 3 exons. The record is from RefSeq and is a predicted model, not a curated record. Lineage: Eukaryota; Metazoa; Chordata; Mammalia; Carnivora; Mustelidae.
UAAACAGAAAGAGAAAGGUGCAGGGCAAGCUGGGACCAGAGUGUAGGACAUGGGUGGUGGAGACUCCCCAGCUCCAGUGGCUGCAAGUAGCCAGGGCUCAGAAACUAGAAGGUGCAUGUAAGCAGAAAGGGGUCAGGCUGAGGAGGCCUUGGGCCAGUCUGAGAUGGUUAAUGACCCUGAACAUCAGGGGAUGCCAGCCAGCAUGCUGUAACUCAAAGUCAGAUGGACUCUUUCUACUUUUGAGAAGGCCACAAAGCUUCUCAGAGGCAGAGCCUUUCCUGAGCAUGGAAGAGGACCCUCAUGUAUGGAUGGCUGGACUAGAAAACCUUUAAGGCUUUGCCUUUGGAAAACAAGAUGCAGAACCAUGCUCAGUCUCCACUUAUCCCAUCUGGAGGGACGUUCAAGAUCACCACUCUGGACAUAGGCCUAGGACUCUUGGGCUACCUCAGCUUUGGGGACACCACCCAAGCGAACAUCACCCUCAACCCCUCCAACUGCUGGUGAGUGAGUUCAGGCUGCAGAGCCGAGAGGAUGUUGUGCCGGGUGGAGCUAGGCCAGCAAGAGCAUGAAUGUGGAUCAGGUCUUCACUGUGGAGAAGAGAUACCAGGAAACUGCACCGUGGAGAGAGGUGGACUGGGUAAAUAAGAGAUCUGGAUUCUUGACCAGCACGGCCAUGUAUAAAUAAUAA